This 474-nucleotide ribosomal RNA is filed under the name uncultured bacterium. RNAcentral's name for it is "SSU rRNA". It matches the Rfam family "Bacterial small subunit ribosomal RNA", at positions 26 to 521 of the family's 1533-position model. The record is from RNAcentral.
AGGAUGAACGCUGGCGGCGUGCCUAACACAUGCAAGUCGAACGUCCUGUCUCGCAAGAGGCAGGGAGUGGCGGACGGGUGAGUACCACGUGGGUCAUCUACCGUGAGGUGAGGAAUACCGGCGAGAAAUCGCCGACAAGACCGCAUAGGCUCGAUGCAAGUCGAGCAAAGCUCUCUCGAGAGAGGGAGCGCCACACGAGGAGCCUGCGCCCGAUUAGCUAGCUGGUGGAGUAAUGGUUCACCAGGGCGACGAUCGGUAGCUGGUCUGAGAGGACGAUCAGCCACACUGGGAUUGAGAACGGCCCAGACUCCUACGGGGGGCAGCAGUGAGGAAUUUUCGUCAAUGGGGGCAACCCUGAACGAGCAACGCCGCGUGCAGGAAGAAGGUUUUCGGAUCGUAAACUGCUUUCUCGGGAAGAGAACGGACGGUACCCGAGGAAUCAGCCCCGGCUAACUACGCGCCAGCAGCCGCGGU